GAGCACUGUUCGUGACACAUCAGCCUGGCUGUGGCUGGCGGGUUCCAUUCCAGUGCCAGAGUAACCCCCAGGACUCGUGACUGGCUGCCUGGCUGGUGGCGCUCGGUCUCAGGCCCUGGAGACAGCU
Small nucleolar RNA from Talpa occidentalis (Iberian mole), 127 nucleotides. The record is from RefSeq and is a predicted model, not a curated record. Lineage: Eukaryota; Metazoa; Chordata; Mammalia; Eulipotyphla; Talpidae.